Molecule: ribosomal RNA, 497 nt
Filed under: uncultured bacterium
Lineage: Bacteria
Description: partial 16S ribosomal RNA
Rfam family: Bacterial small subunit ribosomal RNA
Source: RNAcentral
GAUGAACGCUGGCGGCGUGCCUAAUACAUGCAAGUCGAGCGAACAGACGAGGAGCUUGCUCCUCUGAGGGUAGCGGCGGACGGGCGAGUAACACGUGGAUAACCUACCUAUAAGACUGGGAUAAUUUCGGGAAACCGGAUCUAAUACCGGAUAAUAUAUCGAACCGCAUGGUUCAAUAGUGAAAGACGGUUUUGGUGUCACUUAUAGAUGGAUCCGCGCCGCAUUAGCUAGUUGGUAAGGUAACGGCUUACCAAGGCUACGAUGCGUAGCCGACCUGAGAGGGUGAUCGGCCACACUGGAACUGAGACACGGUCCAGACUCCUACGGGAGGCAGCAGUAGGGAAUCUUCCGCGAAGGGCGAAAGCCUGACGGAGCAACACCGCGUGAGUGAUGAAGGUCUUCGGAUCGUAAAACGCUGUUAUUAGGAAAGAACAAAAGUGUAAGUAACUAUGCACGUCUUGACGGUACCUAAACAAAAAGCCACGGCUAACUACGUG